AUGGCGGCGGGCGCGGCGCUGGAGGCCGCGGUGCGGGGCGGGCUGCGCGCCCUCCGCGAGCGCUGGGCGCGGGGCGCCCGCGGGCCCGCGCCGCCCCCGGACGGCGCCGAGGCGCUGAGCGCCCUGCAGACGCUGCCGAUCGACGUGCAGCUGAACAUCAUGUCCUUCCUCUCCCCCCAAGAUUUGUGCCGCUUAGGAAGCACGAGUUGUUACUGGAGGGCAGCUGUGCAAGACCCGUUGUUAUGGAGGUAUUUUCUCCUGCGGGAUCUCCCCUCUUGGUCAUCUGUUGAUUGGAAAUCACUUCCAGAUGAGGAGAUUUUUAAUAAAGCCUUUUCGGAGGUCAGCGACAAUGCACUGUAUGAUUACAUGGCAGUAUAUAAAAGGAGCUGUCCUCAGGGUAGAAGAAGUUUGAAAUCGAGCCGUCCCCGGUAUGGGACUGUGACUUCCUUUUUGCAAUCACUGGUCACUCAGGCAGAACCUCGCUUUGCUAUGUUUGGGCCAGGUUUGGAACAGCUGGACAGCUCUUUGGUGCAAAAGAUGAUGACAUGCCCAGAAAUUCUGCUGGUAGCUGGCCUGCCUCAUAGACAAAUUCAUGGAAUUGGAUCAGGAGUCAGUUUUCAGUUUAACAACAAUCAAAAAUUCAAUAUUGUGACAUUGUAUUCCACAACAAGUGUGGAAAGGAGGAGAGCAAGGGAGGAGCAAGCUGUUGCUGUGAAUAAGAUGUUUUACCAAGAGAACAGCGCAGAAGGGAACCAGCAAGCCAUGCACUACAGUGUCAUAGCUCAAGUGAGGAAGGUGUGCGAAGUAGUUGAUGGAUUCAUUUAUGUUGCUAAUGCAGAAGCUCAUAGAGAACACGAUCGUCAGGAGGAGCUGGCUCGUAUUUUGGCAAUGGUUGAUCCAGCCCUUGGGCCUCCCAACAGACCUCUGCUCAUUUUGUCCUGUGUGUCUCACGUUGGUGUGAAAAGAAUUCCAUGUGUUUACAUGGCACAUCAGUUGCAACUAAAUCUGCUGCAUCAGCCCUGGAUGUUUUUGACAGAUCAGUUUUCUACCUGAGGAUGUGAGGUCCUGAACCUGGUUUUUUAUGUUUGUCAAGCACAGUAUCUGUUAGCAUGGUUCAGCCACACAGAAUUAAUUUUUGUUGAUGUUGUGUAGCUGAGGAAUAACUUAAUCAGAAAAAAUCCUGAUUUGAGAUGCAGGACACUGUAGCUGCAACUUUAGAUGGAUUGCUAAAUGGAAUUGAGUGGCUCUUGGAAGAAGCAAAUUGUAAAAGUGCUCAGUAGUAGGAUUAGGCAUUGUUGCACUGUAUAAACCUUUUGGGGUUUUCCAUUUCACUUGAAGAAAGAAUCUUGUCCUUCCUGCCAGACUACUGUCAGAAGGGAAAACUGAUAAGGCAAACGUGCGUAUAUUUCACUGCACAUACUCAAAUUCUUAACAUUUUUCCAACUAUAGUCCUGAAUUAGAAAUACAAGUGGGAUUGCCUCGAUUCUAGCUGCGAUAAAGAAGUGAUUUGGAGGGACAAUCUGAAUGUUUUGAUUUGUUGUUUUUCUCUCCUUUCAACCAGAGGCCUUUAGAGUACAAUCUUUUCCAAUAUAUCUGAUUGGUCAAAUAUCUUCUGUAAAUAAAUAUGUAACACUACAUUAAUGUAUCAGCACAGCCGUAUCACACAUUUAGCAAACAUAUUCAAGGGAGAUCUUUACAGUGACACUUCCUGACCAAAGAAAACAUACUGUAGGUUGUACAGUAGGAGGCUGACAGAAAGACAGUACAGAGAAGUGAGUUCCCCUGUAUUUUUCUACAAAAAAUGCCUAGAUAAAAAAUAGUGGGGGGAAUUUUCAGCCUAGACCAAAUUUCUUAGAAGCAAACAAACACUUCUGCAUAUGAAUUGUUGUUUCUUUGUUGUGAUCUUACUUACUAACCAACCACAACAGACUUCAGCAUCUUUAGCUUUCUGUUGCACUGAAGUCAUUAGCUUGAACUGGAUAUGCCUCUGAUUCCAUGAAGAAAUGUUAAAUAGGAUCAUUCAGGACUUUAUUGCACACACACAGACUAUCAAGUUUCCCAAAUAGUUGUGGCCAUUUGCAGAUGUGAAUUAUACCUGUCCUGAAAUUUUCUACACAGUUGCAAAUAGUUUUAUGAAAAGCAAAGCAACAUUUUAAAGCUGGAAUUGUGUUCUCCAUAUUGAUGUCUUUCAGGUUGUCUUUUCAUGUUUUUAUUAUUGGGUGAAUGUUCAGAAACUUCACUUGGAUUUCUUGCUGGGGCAUUUAUUUUCUUUAUUCUGGACUUUUUUUUCCUUUUCUCCUAUUAUCAUAGAAAUUCAGGUAUCUCACAAUUUUUUCAUGGUACUUAGAUAAAUGAUUGCAUAGCACACAUACAGCUGUAACUGCCCUCAGUGUGGAAUACUUGAGUGAUGAUCAACACAGCCAUGUCAGAAACAUUCCAUGUGAGAAGAUGUUUGGGAUUUUUUAAUGAACUAGAAAGCAUUAAAAUCCAUUUUUUUUUUCAUCUUUAUGCACAGUUAAUCCAUUUUCCCAGAUUUUUUUGGUAUGUCCUAAUCAGGGACACAUGGGAGUUUCAAGGGAUAAUCCAAAGGAACAUUACAACGAAAAUUCUGUGCUUUAUCUUUUCUUUUUUUUUUUUUUUAAUAGUGUAAGUUUUGCCCUUUAAAAUAGAGCAGACACAACAGAUUUAUGAGUGUUUGGGAUAAAAUUCCGUGCUUUGUGACUGGGUGUAUGUGAUUUUCCUCCUAAUCACACGAAUUUUGUAGUGGUCUAUAUGUAGGAGAUUGAAUGCAGCAACCUGAUUCUGUGUUAGUUACUACAAAUAUGGAGGGGUUAUGGAAGAUCCUCUUUCUACUUUCUUCAUAAGGAAUAAAUAAUUUUAAAAAUAA
RNA transcript from Passer domesticus (house sparrow), 2887 nucleotides. It is a transcript of the gene named F-box protein 4, with no coding region annotated. NCBI's taxonomy places the organism in Eukaryota, Metazoa, Chordata, Aves, Passeriformes, Passeridae. The transcript is spliced from 8 exons. The record is from RefSeq and is a predicted model, not a curated record.